Molecule: unclassified non-coding RNA, 240 nt
Filed under: soil metagenome
Description: partial contains 5.8S ribosomal RNA, internal transcribed spacer 2, and large subunit ribosomal RNA
Source: RNAcentral
AACAAGGCGUACCUGCGGACCUGCGGAAGGAUCAUUACCGAGUGCGGGUCCUCGUGGCCCAACCUCCCACCCGUGACUAUUGUACCUUGUUGCUUCGGCGGGCCCGCCAGCCCUGCUGGCCGCCGGGGGGCGUCUCGCCCCCGGGCCCGUGCCCGCCGGAGACCCCAACAUGAACCCUGUUCUGAAAGCUUGCAGUCUGAGUGUGAUUCUUUGCAAUCAGUUAAAACUUUCAGCAACGGA